This 1136-nucleotide long non-coding RNA is filed under the name Homo sapiens (human). Its description in RNAcentral is "HSALNT0309475". The record is from RNAcentral. Lineage: Eukaryota; Metazoa; Chordata; Mammalia; Primates; Hominidae.
UUGGACCCCAGCCCUUCACUGGAACACACACACACACGCACAUGCAUGUACACACACAUACACACACAUGCAUGCACACAUCACUCUGCACAUACCACACCACACACACGCGCACACACAUACCACUCUGCACAGACUCUGAGCAGUCCGAAAGUCCCCGUGGACCCUUUGGUUCACACAGCCCUGGAGGGGAUGGGGAAGGACCCACCUAGCCUUGCAGAGGCAGAAUGACUCUUGCCAGUCAGGAAUUCCUACAGCGGGUUGCAUCAUUCACAUAACAUUAGCAGCCAUCAAAGGCUAAAGAGCAGCCCCCAAAAAGGAGAGGCUCAGUGGCCACAAUGGCUGUGGCCCUCACUUCCGCACUGUGCAGAGGGCCCUAGGGGCCCUGGCCUCCGGGCCUGAGCUCAAGGCCACCACGGUAGUGUCCCAUCAGAAACGUAUGACAUCCUGCUGCUCCUGCUCCGUCCUGAGGUGGCACCCCCCAGUUUUCUGGGUGUACACAUCCAUCUAAGCUUGGCUGGUGGGCGUCUGCCCAGAUGAGGGGGCCAAGGACCCAACUCUGCACAACAGCAAAUGCAUUCAGGGAGGGCCACUGGGACCUCCAGGAGCUGCUGAGAUACCACCCAAGUCCCAGGCGUGUGCAGGACUCAUGGGGCCAGAGGCAUAAUUUCACUCUUGUUGCCCAGGCUGGAGUGCAAUGGUGUGUGUGAUCUCAGCUCACUGCAACCUCCACCUCCCCGGUUCAAGCAAUUCUCCUGCCUCAACCUCCCAAGUAGCUGCUAUUACAGAGACGGGGUUACACUAUGUUGUCUAGGCUGGUCUUGAACUCCCGGCCUUAAGUGAUCCACCCACCUCGGUCUCCCAAAGUGUUGGGAUUACAGGUGUAAGCUACUGCAACAGAGAUGAGGUUUCACCAUGUUGCCCAGACUGGUCUCGAACUCCUGUGCUCAAGGGAUCUACCCACCUCGGCCUCCCAAAAUGCUGGGAUUACAUGCGGGAGCCAUCGUGCUUGGCCUGUGUAUGAUUCUUAUUUGUCCCAGAUUUGACCAGUGGGAGCCCCUUCAAGUUGGAUCGUAUAUCCUUUUGAUGUGUCAUUAUGAAUAUUUUGUAUUUUCUGGCACAAUACAAUGUUCUAG